Molecule: ribosomal RNA, 292 nt
Filed under: uncultured bacterium
Lineage: Bacteria
Description: partial 16S ribosomal RNA
Rfam family: Bacterial small subunit ribosomal RNA
Source: RNAcentral
GUGUCAGCCGCCGCGGUAAGACAGAGGGUGCAAACGUUGUUCGGAAUUACUGGGCGUAAAGCGUGUGUAGGCGGCCAAGCAAGUCGGAUGUGAAAGCCCUGGGCUCAACCCAGGAAGUGCACUCGAUACUGCCUGGCUCGAGUAUCGGAGAGGUUGGUGGAAUUCUCGGUGUAGAGGUGAAAUUCGUAGAUAUCGAGAGGAACACCGGUGGCGAAGGCGGCCAACUGGACGAAUACUGACGCUGAGACACGAAAGCGUGGGGAGCAAACAGGAUUAGAUACCCUCGUAGUCC